UGGUCGCUUAACGAUCAGGCUUCCGGGGAUACUGCCAGACUAGGGACCCGGGAGAGGCCGGGGGUAUUCCCGGGGUAGGGGUGAAAUCCCUGUAAUCCCGGGAGGACCACCUGUGGCGAAGGCGCCCGGCUGGAACGGUCCGACGGUGAGGGACGAAGGCCUGGGGAGCGAACCGGAUUAGAUACCCGGGUAGUCCAGGCUGUAAACGAUGCGGGCUAGGUGUCGCGAUAGCCAUGAGCUAUCGCGGUGCCGGAGGGAAGCCGUUAAGCCCGCCGCCUGGGAAGUACGGCCGCAAGGCUGAAACUUAAAGGAAUUGGCGGGGGAGCACUACAACGGGUGGAGCCUGCGGUUUAAUUGGAUUCAACGCCGGGAAGCUUACCGGGGGAGACAGCGGGAUGAAGGUCGGGCUGAAGACCCUACCAGACUAGCUGAGAGGUGGUGCAUGGCCGCCGUCAGUUCGUACUGUGAAGCAUCCUGUUAAGUCAGGCAACGAGCGAGACCCGCGCCCUCAGUUGCCAGCGGAUCGCUUUUGCGAUGCCGGGCACACUGGGGGGACUGCCGGCGCUAAGCCGGAGGAAGGUGCGGGCAACGGCAGGUCCGUAUGCCCCGAAUCCCCCGGGCUACACGCGGGCUACAAUGGCCGGGACAAUGGGUACCGACCCCGAAAGGGAUAGGUAAUCUCCUAAACCCGGUCUAACCUGGGAUCGAGGGCUGCAACUCGCCCUCGUGAACCUGGAAUC
Molecule: ribosomal RNA, 740 nt
Filed under: uncultured archaeon
Lineage: Archaea
Description: bacterial SSU rRNA
Rfam family: Archaeal small subunit ribosomal RNA
Source: RNAcentral